UUGAAAGGGAAACGAUUGAAGUCAGUCAUACCAACGGGAAAUCAACCUCUUGAGCUCGGUCUCGUGGGUUUUGAAGAGUUUCAAAGCCUUCGGAUUCGCGGGAUUGGGAUCUCUUGGUGUACUUUUUCGUACGGUUAGUCAACAUCGGUUUUGUAUGUCAUAAAAUGACUGGAGGAAUGUAGCUUCGAUCUCGUAUUGAAGUGUUAUAGCCUUUGGUAGAUGUGAUGUUUGAGACCGAGGAUUGCAACGGAUACCCUUCAGGGCUAUUCGUCUGAUCUCUGAUACGUUGCCUUGAUGUUGAAAGCUCGCUUAUGAUGUUAGGGUAUUACGGUCAAAAGGUUAGAGCGAAUUACAUUCGUUAAGGAUGUUGACGUA
RNAcentral lists this ribosomal RNA (375 nucleotides) under uncultured Glomeromycotina. RNAcentral describes it as "LSU rRNA". The record is from RNAcentral. Lineage: Eukaryota; Fungi; Glomeromycota.